UUCUGUUGGUUUUCUCUUCUUCUUUUUCUUUAACUGAGUUCCAAAAACCUCCAAAUCUAAUUCUAUGAAAUUCAAUCCAAGACCAUUUGAGUUAAGAAUCGAAAUCAGAGUUUGGGAAAUAGUUAAUCUCGAUUAAAAUUUCUUCAAUUUCGGCGAAAUUUCUAUUGAAAUCUGCUUCUUAGAUUCAUGAAAAGUUUUUAAAUUUUGAAAUCGUCGUAUGAACCUGUUUUACGAUCUAAGCUAUCUGCGGCGGUUACAGUUUCACCACCAGCUCCGGAAGAGAGAGAGAGACAGGGGUCGAUGCCGAUGAGGCGAGGCGGAGGAGAGAGGACAAUCUCGUCGAGAUUAGAAAAAAACAAGCGUGAGGAUAGUCUCCUCACGAAGCAGCAGCAGCAGCCUCCCGGAGCUGGCCUCGACGAAUGUUGCCGUCGUUGAGAAACGAGUAAGUUCCCGAUCUGAAUUUCGAGACAAUUGUGCGUGACUUUUUGAUUUGGAUCCCAGGAUUUGAUUAUUUAGUGAUGUAUCUUUGUUUGAUUAUUGAAAAAAGUGAGGCUUUGAUUCUAGAUACACCACGUUCAACUAGUGUGUUGUGUUUGAAUUUUAAUAUUUGUAAUUUGGUUUUAUUAGUUGCAACAACGGGAAAAGAUUAACAACGAGAUUUAUUACCAUGUCCUUCUUCACAUGUAAUGCCUUUUGCUUCUCCAUGAGAUAUUGGUGCACCUUCUCUUGUUCCAAUUCGGGCUUCUAGAUCAUCUAUCAGAUCCUCAAGCUCUAGGUAUGGAGGAAGAUCCAAUCAACCUGCAUAUUCUUUGGAAGGUGAUCUGAAAAAUGAGUGUUGCUCUGUCAAAGAUAGAGAAUAAGUGGAAGGAAGAGCUUGAUCAAGAACUAUAAAGAAAGCGCACAAGUCAAGUCUUUUUUGUGACAAUCAUGAUUAUACACUGCACGUACUUGUGAAUUAAGAUUGCACAUGACUUAUGUUUUUGUAUUUCAUUUCUGUAUUUUGUUGUGUUGUAGAUUAAGAACAUAUUACUACAUGUACAACUAGAUCACUUAGGUACAACUGAGACAAUUUUUGUAUAACUUGAACUACUUGGUGCAACUACACUA
Molecule: long non-coding RNA, 1107 nt
Organism: Arabidopsis lyrata subsp. lyrata
Lineage: Eukaryota; Viridiplantae; Streptophyta; Magnoliopsida; Brassicales; Brassicaceae
Exons: 2
Source: RefSeq, a predicted model, not a curated record